This 448-nucleotide ribosomal RNA is filed under the name uncultured bacterium. RNAcentral describes it as "bacterial SSU rRNA". It matches the Rfam family "Bacterial small subunit ribosomal RNA", at positions 28 to 456 of the family's 1533-position model. The record is from RNAcentral.
GAUGAACGCUGGCGGCGUGCUUAACACAUGCAAGUCGAACGAAGCACUUUAUUUGAUUUCCUUCGGGACUGAUUAUUUUGUGACUGAGUGGCGGACGGGUGAGUAACGCGUGGGUAACCUGCCUUGUACAGGGGGAUAACAGUUGGAAACGGCUGCUAAUACCGCAUAAGCGCACAGCAUCGCAUGAUGCAGUGUGAAAAACUCCGGUGGUAUAAGAUGGACCCGCGUUGGAUUAGCUAGUUGGUGAGGUAACGGCCCACCAAGGCGACGAUCCAUAGCCGACCUGAGAGGGUGACCGGCCACAUUGGGACUGAGACACGGCCCAAACUCCUGCGGGAGGCAGCAGUGGGGAAUAUUGCACAAUGGGCGAAAGCCUGAUGCAGCGACGCCGCGUGAGCGAAGAAGUAUUUCGGUAUGUAAAGCUCUAUCAGCAGGGAAGAUAAUGACG